RNAcentral lists this ribosomal RNA (468 nucleotides) under uncultured bacterium. RNAcentral's name for it is "partial 16S ribosomal RNA". It matches the Rfam family "Bacterial small subunit ribosomal RNA", at positions 28 to 507 of the family's 1533-position model. The record is from RNAcentral.
GACGAACGCUGGCGGCGUGCUUAGCACAUGCAAGUCGAACGGAAAGGCCCUGCUUUUGUGGGGUGCUCGAGUGGCGAACGGGUGAGUAACACGUGAGUAACCUGCCCUUGACUUUGGGAUAACUUCAGGAAACUGGGGCUAAUACCGGAUAGGAGCUCCUGCUGCAUGGUGGGGGUUGGAAAGUUUCGGCGGUUGGGGAUGGACUCGCGGCUUAUCAGCUUGUUGGUGGGGUAGUGGCUUACCAAGGCUUUGACGGGUAGCCGGCCUGAGAGGGUGACCGGCCACAUUGGGACUGAGAUACGGCCCAGACUCCUAUGGGAGGCAGCAGUGGGGAAUAUUGCACAAUGGGCGGAAGCCUGAUGCAGCAACGCCGCGUGCGGGAUGACGGCCUUCGGGUUGUAAACCGCUUUCGCCUGUGACGAAGCGUGAGUGACGGUAAUGGGUAAAGAAGCACCGGCUAACUACGUG